This is a long non-coding RNA of Piliocolobus tephrosceles (Ugandan red Colobus), 914 nucleotides long. RefSeq lists it as uncharacterized. The transcript has 3 exons. NCBI's taxonomy places the organism in Eukaryota, Metazoa, Chordata, Mammalia, Primates, Cercopithecidae. The record is from RefSeq and is a predicted model, not a curated record.
UAUUGAUCCAGGAGUGUGACCUCUCUUUUCCCAGGACUAUUAAUAAGGAAAACACCUUCACCUAUCUAUGUGACAAGAUACUCUAUAGAGAUGUUAAAGUGUGAGCCCUCUCUAUUUCCUGCCCACUUCCUGCCAUUCUCAGGAGGUUGCUGGGUCUUUUUUGACUCAGAGAUUUUGCAGAGGAGAAACCAGGUGUUACUUGAGGUGGGAGUGCUCUUUCUGUCCAGUGUCAAAGUGUGAGCUCCAAUAGAAGACAAUCUGAAUUGCUCCAAUAGAAGACAAUCUGAAUUGCUCCAAAUUGGGUCCUCGAGUAUGCCAAGAGGACCCCUGAAGGUCACCCCAAGAUGAGGAAUCGACAGCCUGAACAUGUAAGAAGCCACAUGAGACAUGAGAAGUAAUGUAGCAUCCUUAAUGUGUUGAGAAACGCCCUGAAAUGACAGCCAGCAAAGAAACAAGGACGUGGGCCCUGCAACUACAAGGAAAUGGAGUCUACCAACAACCUCAAUGAGCCUAGAAGCAGAUUUUUUCCCAGAGGUUUCAGAUAAGAGGCCAGCCAGCCAGCACCUUGAUUUCACCUUUCAGACCCUACCUAGAACAACCAGGAAGAAAAUCAUAUUGUCUAUUUGGAUCAUAUUGGACAGCUGAACCCAUCAAACGUGACCAGAAUGGUGGAGUCCAGGAAGAAAACAGAAGACGGCAAGAAAACUACACGUGUAAGUCCAUUUUCAAGCAGAUAUGUGUGUGCAGGAGUAAUUUUCUGCAAUGAAGGGAGAGGAGUAGGAGCGCUGAGUAAACCCAAUACUAAACCUUUCCUAUAUGAGCUUUUAAGUGCUGGAAUUUCUCAGAGGUCCUUCCUUGACCUCCUGUCUUCUCACUGUAUACUCUACCUAAGCAAUUUAAUUAUACCCAUGACA